GACGAACGCUGGCGGCGUGCUUAACACAUGCAAGUCGAGCGGUAAGGCCCUUUCGGGGGUACGACGAGCGGCGAACGGGUGAGUAACACGUGGGUGACCUGCCCUCAGCUCUGGGAUAAGCCUGGGAAACUGGGUCUAAUACUGGAUAUGACUCCACGGUGCAUGUCGUGGGGUGGAAAGCCUUGUGCGGCUGAGGAUGGGCCCGCGGCCUAUCAGCUUGUUGGUGGGGUGAGGCCUACCAAGGCGACGACGGGUAGCCGGCCUGAGAGGGCGACCGGCCACACUGGGACUGAGACACGGCCCAGACUCCUACGGGAGGCA
Molecule: ribosomal RNA, 321 nt
Filed under: uncultured bacterium
Lineage: Bacteria
Description: bacterial SSU rRNA
Rfam family: Bacterial small subunit ribosomal RNA
Source: RNAcentral